Long non-coding RNA from Onychostoma macrolepis, 1430 nucleotides. RefSeq lists it as uncharacterized. Lineage: Eukaryota; Metazoa; Chordata; Actinopteri; Cypriniformes; Cyprinidae. The transcript is spliced from 5 exons. The record is from RefSeq and is a predicted model, not a curated record.
GUUGUACACAAAGCAGCACUGCACUCUGCUUUAAAUGAAAUCGACCAAUCAGACCAAUCACCGCGGAUUAGCGUCAAGCAAAGGAGGGGUUUGGAAAAAUGGACCGUUGAGCGAAUCGUUUGGGAGUCGUUGAGCAAAUAAGCUGUUUGGGCUCUAAUUCUGAUGGCACCCAUGCAGAGCAUCCAUUGGUAUGCGAGUGAUGCAAUGCUACAAGUUGUUUCCGAUGAAGAAACAAACUCAUCUAAAUCUUGGAUGUCCUGACGCUCACCGCCAUUUAGUACAAAUUACAGCCAUCAGCUCCACCCACGUUGCAUCGUAGCUGUCGAUUCCUGAGGGAGCAAUUCUUCAAAUCUUCUUCAAAUUUUUCUUCCACAUGCCCAGCUGCACAUACUCCGUCGACUCUCUGUCCUUCUACUCCUGGCUUGUGAAUUCCACUCAAUUGCCCCGGUUAAUGGAGAGAACACAAUAAAGCAUCAAACACUCUUGGAGGUAAAACUCCUCUAUAUGAACCGACAUUGAGCGGGAAACCUCGGAGCCCGAAUCGGCCUCAGCACAGCCUGGUUCUGUUUAGCGAUGCUGGGUUUACAUGAUCGCCAGCCACGACUGCCAUAUUGAUAGACCCUUCGCCAUGGCGCGGUAAUGCAGCCGGAAUGAGCAGAGAACUAAAAUCAGCCAUGCACCCUCACGCCUACCACUGGCGUUCGACUCCGCUGUAAUAGUUUCUAUUUGUGGAAGAGGAAGGAUAUAAACAAAUGCAUUAGCUUUGCCUCGCCACAGGAACGACGGGGGAAAACAAGUCAAAGUGAACAGCGGGAAAGAGAGGAGGUGAGGCGGUGGGUGCAGAAAGGAGUGGGGGAAGGCAGGAAUGAAAUGAAAAUGUUGCGAUUGGGAUGUAAAACUGCAAAGUGGCGUGAACAGAUAAGGGACGGAGAGAGAGAGAGUGAGAGUGAGAGAGGACGAAGAUGGUGAGUAGAUCCAAUCUCCAACCCUGUCAAUCAAAACCGCAGUGUUUACUGCCCACACAUCCCUGCCCCUUUUACAGGCAUUACACAUGCAGCGAAGACUGUCUCGCUUCAGCCGUAUUGAUCAUGUGCCAGGGCAGACCGGUGGCCUCUGCUGAUUGAAUAUAUUGGAUGACUUCCAUUGUGGAGCUUCGUCUUCAAAGUGGUUCUGAAGCUCUGGAUCAAACGCGGAGUGUCGUAAGUGAUUACGGACGAUAAUGAUAAUGACUUUGUUCUGUUCUGGAUGACUGUUUGAUGAAGUUUGUUAGGCUUCUUCUGCGGCUCUGAAGUUCAAAGAGGCAUGCCGACCACUUCCUGAAACCAAAGACCCAUGAGAGAUCACAAUACAGGAGAGUUCAAGAGAAUGCAUCACCUAGGACAACAAACGCAUGAACAAACACACGCAGUGCAGCUCUGUCCCUGCUGCUG